GUGACAGUGACAUGAAAUCAAAAUAGGAUAAAAUGUACCCAGGGUUAUUUCUCCUUUUGAAAAGUCCUUAUUGAGCUGCAACUAGAUUAACGUUGAAAGUACAUACUGCUUAUAUACAUAUUUCUGUACGUACACAUUUCACAGUUAACAUAUUAUUUACACGCAGCUAUCCGCAUCUCUCCUAUCCACCUGCCCACAACCGCUGAUCACAAAGCACAGCAGUCUCAGCCACCCACACACCCAUCUCCCGCAGCUCAGGGGACGUGAGGAGCUCCGUGCAGCACUGCACUCUGCCUGUAUGUUGCUGAGACAAACCCCUGCCUUGCAACAGGUGCAGCAAAAUGGGGGUUUUUAGGCCUAGCAGCAGGUCCAGCUCUGUGAGCAUCCCUCUGUCUCUAAGGGAAUGGCAAAGGGGUUAAUGGCAUCAAGAGCGACGGCACCGCUCAUCCCAACCCAAACUCAUCCAAACACAAUUUGCUAAACUGGGGCACUGAAAUGCUUCAGUAACAAUUUUAUUAAAAAUAACAAUAAUAAUUAUUAGGCACUGAUUUCCAAACAGGCAUUUUUAUCUAAAUUUCCCACUCUUAGCUUCUAUCACCCAAUUGAUUACAUGAAUGCACCAUUCCAGCACUGCUUCAGGAGGUACUGUGGCGUGCUGACAUUUCUUGCUAACAGUGAGCUGGAACAGAAAGUAAAUGUAGCUGCGGUGCUGCUGAGCUCACAGUGCAAAGGAAAGUUGCAGAAUGUAACAGCAGAACACAUCUCGAUCACAGAACAUAUCUCCAUCAGACAUAACUUAUUUUUCCUCUCCAUGAAAACUGUGAGGAAAUGCAGAACUCAGAAAAAUGGGUGCGAUUUUAAUAAGAAACGUCAAGGAUGGGUGACUAUAAAACGCUCCGUGAAUAAAAAAGGGGAGAGCGGAUGCCAGCAAAUAACGCACAGCCAAAUCUGUCCCUGAGAUGCGCAUCAGAGGAGAGACUGACGAGAGAAAAGCGGAGCGCACGGAACUUCCUAUUUGCUAUUUUGAACGGAAGGCGGACGCGCAGAGCUCGGUCACAGCCCACUUCCGACGGCCGCGAACUGUCACCGCGAGUGGGGGGGGAGUGGGGGGGGUCGGACGGGGCGGUCAAUGAGCGCUCCACGGGCGCCGGGGCAGAGCCGCGCAACGAAGAGCCCCUUCGGAAACCAAAUAAGAACACGAGGAAUGGGAAGACGAGCGCGCUGAAUGCGAACACAGCACUGCGUUCCCACGCCGCCGCGCUGCGCGUCCGGUUGCGCGGCCACCCCGCCCUGCGCGCCCCGGAGCUAUUGUUUUCUCCUGGAAAGAAACUACCAGUGGAUUAGAACACCUGCAUGAUCCUAAGCAUUAACGUCUCAACUGGAAAUGCACCUGAACUCCACUGCUUGCUUGUAAGGAGCUCAGAUCACCUCAUGUCACUUGCCUACCUGUUCAUCGCAGCUCUGCAAGUGUGAGGAAGGGUUGGCUUUUAUAUAAUACAUAUAUUAAAGAAGUUACUAGUGCUCCUUGAACUAAAGCAGAUGGACCUUUUCCUACUCCUCCAGUCCUUCAUAAGGUCUUUGGAACAAAGGUAACACAGAUCCCAGCACACUGCAGGCAGCACGCACCAUAGGAAAUGCUAGGCAGAACUUUCAAUUUUGUCUACCCAGGGUGACGAUAUUGUUCAAUGAGGAUAAUACAAACCUAUUCUUCAAUGAAAGGUAUCUGUUUGUUCCCAAAGCUGCAAAGAAUUCAGAAAAAAAAAAUGUACCUAUUGAAGACAAACCUAGUUAAGAUAAGCAACAAUCAACAUUCUUCAUUGCAUUUUACAAUGACACUCUUUGUGCAGCCCAUCUUGCAACAUGAAUCAGAACAGAAGGUUUUACAUGGGCAAAUCAGCAAGAACAGCUUAAAAUAAGAUUGUCCGUCCCUAUGUUCCUUUUUGGAAGAGUUUAUAAGCUUCAGGAGCUCUAAAAAUGCUUCUGCCAAAAAAGAUAAAUAGGCUUAACCAUUUUUAGAAGCACUGACAACACUAAUGCUUCAAACCAGACUGCACCUGACGUCCCUUUUGGCGAAUACAAGACCUCUAACUCUACAAAAAGCAGCAAGAUACUGUUGAAGACUGAACUCUAGAAUACGCUGAAGCAUCCAAUUUCAGUUCAUUUGAAGUACAUCUACAUUACAGUUUACCAACAUAGCUCAAAGCUAAGUUCACUUCUACAUGAAUUUACUUAGGAAAAGUGGCUUGUAGGAGCAUUAAUCAUGUGCUGUGCCACCCAACUUCCACACGCUAUGCUACAAGCAUUUAUCUACCUUUUCAAAAGGAGAUAAAACUCAACAGCCAACUGCAUUGCUCUUCUUCCACCAUGAACCCAACAAGAAGGUGGCAGCUGGAAGCAGGGUGGGCUAUAAGCUCCCUCCAUAGGAAUUUUACAGCAUAUGAAACAUAUGCUGCCCCGUUGUCAGGGCUCAGUGCCUUCUUUUAAAGUUAUCUGUCAAAACGUGCAACAUAUUUAAGAUGACAAAAAAAAAAAAAAAAAGAAGUAAUAAGCAUUUUAACUUAAUUUCAUCUGCAGAUAGUGCAGGGUAGGGACAAAAUGCUAAGCAUCUCCAAUUUAAGAGGAAUAUACUUCCAAUCUCUUUGGUGAGGGCGCAUCUCUGCAUUUCCACAGAUAAAUGGGUUCUAAAGGCACUCGCAACACCUGUCAGCAUGUCCCUCAACAUGCCCGUGACAGGCAAGCAGCUUCCACCCUGUCCUGAAGACUCACAGAUCAACUCACCAUUGCAAGUGCUAUGAACGAGGUUAUGUUUUAUUUAAACACAGAAGAAAAAAACCCAUCAAGUUUAAAAAAAUAAGAAAAAUGAAAAAAAAGGGGGGGAAGUAGUUUAACAAGAGCUGUCCUUGGCACAGAAAAGAGCUGAAAAGCAAGAGCUAUUCAAGAAGAAACUAGUUUCACCUUGUUUGAACUAGAAACUCUCUAUAGGAGUUAAGCAAACAAAGUUAUCCUUUCAAUAACCCCAACACCUGGAGCACAAGUAACCAGGCAAACAAACACAUUCAACAAUAUUUUGUCCUUCUGUAGCAUCUCUCAUCUGGGGCACCCAGAAUUUUCUGGUUACCAUUAGGAUGUAUUAUUUUUGGUUUUACACUCUAACAAAACCAGAAUACAGAUUUGAGUGCCAUGAGAGUUUACGAAUUGCUCGACUUAGUCUCCACACAUAAAAACUUCAGAGUUCAUAAAUAAUCAGCUGCCCAAAAGUGCCACUUAAACAGCCCUUUAAUCAUAUUAAGUGUCAAAAGUGUCAGAACAAGAAAGCAGAAGUCAUUUUAAAAAAAUAAUCACAUUUAACAAUAAGAUCUGCACAAAACUGUGGAGGUAAAAGAUUGAUAAAUGAGAAGCAGGAGGAUGGUGAUGCAAGAAUAGUAAUCAAUCAUCACUGAAAUGACUGCAUUUCGCACAGAAAAGUCUUUGCAGACUUCCAUGCAGUAGCAAGGCCCUACAACACGAUGUUCACAGGAACUCAUUAGGAACUUGUCUUCUCCCUUCUCUGUAAUCCAGCACUGUUUAACAUACAUCCUACUGUGAACACUUCAAAC
Molecule: long non-coding RNA, 3596 nt
Organism: Pavo cristatus (Indian peafowl)
Lineage: Eukaryota; Metazoa; Chordata; Aves; Galliformes; Phasianidae
Source: Ensembl